AUCAGAUUUCCUUUUCUAACAUGAUUUUAUUCUAAAUAUGUGAUCUUAGGGCUCGCUUACACAAAGUAUACCAUCAGUGGGAACUUUGCUUUCUGGUUGGGAAGUGUCUCUGUCCUUUUCACUUCUUAUUAG
This 132-nucleotide ribosomal RNA is filed under the name Triticum aestivum (bread wheat). Its description in RNAcentral is "partial small subunit ribosomal RNA". The record is from RNAcentral. Lineage: Eukaryota; Viridiplantae; Streptophyta; Magnoliopsida; Poales; Poaceae.